Molecule: long non-coding RNA, 2732 nt
Filed under: Salmo trutta (river trout)
Lineage: Eukaryota; Metazoa; Chordata; Actinopteri; Salmoniformes; Salmonidae
Description: lncRNA (ENSSTUG00000050190.1)
Source: RNAcentral
AUCCACAGACAGCAUGAUGUUUAAAUACUGUAUCUCUCUCUCUGGGCCGUAGGAGCUGGCCUCCAUCCACAGACAGCAUCAUGUUUAAAUACUGUAUCUCUCUCUCUGGGCCGUAGGAGCUGGCCUCCAUCCACAGACACAGCAUCAUGUUUAAAUACUGUAUCUCUCUCUCUCUGGGCCGUAGGAGCUGGCCUCCAUCCACAGACGGCAGCAGCUGGUCAGAGAGGCUCUGAUGGGGAAGAGUCCCAGAGCCUACACCCAGCUCUUCAAGAGGUGUGUUCACACAGCUCCAUCAUCAUUGGCCUCUCAGACACAGCGGGACCCCACCCUCUCAUCCCCCAUGAUGCCUAGAGCCAGCCAUGACGGACAACACAACCACUCAGAGAAUAACAGCUCUGAUGACUCCCGUGCUAGUUCUGGCCUGUCCAUUCCCAGCUCAGCAGGGGCCUUCUCAGAGACAGCAGGGCCAGCCGGGUGUUCAGACCUGGGCUUGGACACCACCGUGGAGCCCCUGGAUGUCUCCCCUCUGGGACACAACCUGGACAUGCUGAAAGAUCAAGUAGAAUCUGGCCACACUCCUGAUGCCCCUCGCCACGGCUCCGAGCUUCUCUCUCAGGGCGCCACCACGGCACGCCCAGGCUCCAACGCCAAACCCAUCCUGCCACCUAUCCUGUCCGGACGCAAGACCCUCGGACCCAGCCCUAGCCCCAAACCCUGAGACAGGAGAGAGAGGGAGAGGAGGAGGGUGUAGAGGUACAGGAGAGAGAGGGAGAGGAGGAGUGUAGAGGUACAGGAGAGAUGAGGAGGAGUAAAGAGGUACCGAAAAGAGAGAGAGGAGGAGUGAAGAGGUACAGGAGAGAUGAGGAGGAGUAAAGAGGUACCGAAAAGAGAGAGAGGAGGAGUGAAGAGGUACAGAAAAGAGGAAGAGGAGGAGUGAAGAGGUACAGAAGAGAGGUAGAGGAGGAGUGAAGAGGUACAGAAGAGAGGAAGAGUGAAGAGGUACAAAAGAGAGAGAGAGGAGGAGGAGUGAAGAGGUACAGAAAAGAGGAAGAGGAGGAGUGAAGAGGUACAGAAGAGAGGUAGAGGAGGAGUGAAGAGGUACAGAAGAGAGGAAGAGUGAAGAGGUACAGAAGAGAGGGAGAGGAGGAGGAGUGAAGAGGUACAGAAAAGAGGUAGAGGAGGAGUGAAGAGGUACAGAAGAGAGGGAGAGGAGGAGUGAAAAGGUACAUGGGAGAGGAGGAGUGAAGAGGUACAGAAGAGAGGGAGAGGAGGAGUGAAAAGGUACAUGGGAGAGGAGGAGUGAAGAGGUACAGAAGAGAGGGAGAGUAGGAGUGAAAAGGUACAUGGGAGAGGGAGGGACAAGUAGAUGCUCUUAAGAGUUGAAAGGUCACACACAGAUUGAACAAUGAUGGACACAUUCACCUGACUUUUCUGAAUAAAGAUGUACCUGUGUGUUAUCUGGUCCAGAUGGAGUCAUUCAUUCACUAAUAAUAUAGUCACAGGAUAGAAUAAUUGGAAUGUAAGGACAUUACACCAAAUAUAAUGAUUCCCUGCUUCAACUUGACUCAAACCGAAACAUACAUUAUAAUACAUUUAGUCAAUGGCAUGUGCCAAACUCUUGACUUCUCAGUCUUGCUAUUGGGCUCCCGAGUGGUGCAGCGAUCACUGCAUCUCAGUGCUAGAGGCGUCACUACAGACCCUGGUUCGAUUCCAGGCUGUAUCACAACCGGCCGUGAUUGGGAGUCCCAUAGGGCGGCGCACAAUUGGCCCAGCGUCGUUAGGGUUUGGCUGGAGUAGGCCAUCAUUGUAAGUAAGAAUUUGUUCUUAACUGUCUUGCCUAGUUUAAUAAAGGUUAAAAAAAUAAAAUAUUGACUACAUAAUCUAUUGUUGUUGCUAUAACCUGUACUGCAAUGCAGAAAGAUAUCCUGGACAGUCACUCAUUAAUAAAGAUGAUUACAGUAUAAUAAGAGAGAUAAUUGAGCCGUUCUUCAAUUGCUGCCAAAGGGUGAGUUAUCUGUGUGUUCUGUUGUAGGGCAGGGCUGGGUAUCUACUGUAUAAGGGUGAGUUAUCUGUGUGUUCUGUUGUAGGGCAGGGCUGGGUAUCUACUGUAUAAGGGUGAGUUAUCUGUGUGUUCUGUUGUAGGGCAGGGCUGGGUAUCUACUGUAUAAGGGUGAGUUAUCUGUGUGUUCUGUUGUAGGGCAGGGCUGGGUAUCUACUGUAUAAGGGUGAGUUAUCUGUGUGUUCUGUUUUAGGGCAGGGCUGGGUAUCUACUGUAUAAGGGUGAGUUAUCUGUGUGUUCUGUUGUAGGGCAGGGCUGGGUAUCUACUGUAUAAGGGUGAGUUAUCUGUGUGUUCUGUUGUAGGGCUGGGCUGGGUAUCUACUGUACAAGGGUGAGUUAUCUGUGUGCUCUGUUGUAGGGCUGGAUAUCUACUGCAUAAUGUGCCUUAAGGUUCCCACUGUAGUAGAGAGCUGAUUCACCUAACCUAACCUAGCCAUGCUUAGAUACAGCCCCUUCACACACACACAACCCCUUCACACACACACCAAAGAGGUCUGUCCCCAUGUUAUCUCUUAGCCCUUCAUCUAGUAUCACCACAUUCAGAGUAGUGAUAUGGUAUCAUUUCCACUGACUCAGGGGUGAUUAGAACUCUGACUGUGUAAUAAUCUCAUCAAAUUGAAAAUGCUGCUAUUAUCUGGUCUUUUAUGUGUCUGUUGUCAGGGUAAUAAACAGU